GAUGAACGCUGGCGGCGUGCCUAAUACAUGCAAGUCGAGCGAACAGAUGAGGAGCUUGCUCCUCUGACGUUAGCGGCGGACGGGUGAGUAACACGUGGAUAACCUACCUAUAAGACUGGGAUAACUUCGGGAAACCGGAGCUAAUACCGGAUAAUAUAUUGAACCGCAUGGUUCAAUAGUGAAAGACGGUUUUGCUGUCACUUAUAGAUGGAUCCGCGCCGCAUUAGCUAGUUGGUAAGGUAACGGCUUACCAAGGCAACGAUGCGUAGCCGACCUGAGAGGGUGAACGGCCACACUGGCACUGAGACACGGUCCAGACUCCUACGGGAGGCAGCAGUAGGGAAUCUUCCGCAAUGGGCGAAAGCCUGACGGAGCAACGCCGCGUGAGUGAUGGAGGUCUUCGGAUCGUAAAACUCUGUUAUUGGGGAAGAACAAAUGUGUAAGUAACUAUGCACGUCUUGACGGUACCUAAUCAGAAAGCCACGGCUAACUACGUG
Molecule: ribosomal RNA, 497 nt
Filed under: uncultured bacterium
Lineage: Bacteria
Description: partial 16S ribosomal RNA
Rfam family: Bacterial small subunit ribosomal RNA
Source: RNAcentral